GUCUCAAUGUGGGUAUAAAUGUGUAUAUAUGCAUUUUUGAGAGAAUAUUGUAUAUAACUAAAAUGUAUAUAUUUGUUUUCAAAUACUUCCAUGCAUAUUUUCUCACUAGAUAAGAAACCUGUUAGGCCUGUGUUACAAGUUGCAAAGAACCCUCAGGUUGAAAGCACUAAGGACCCAUGGUCGGGCUCUUAGGUUGCAUGGCUUAUCCUGUUACUAACAGUACGCAGUGACCUGAUUUGUCAGCAGGUAUUGACACAAAAGCUCCAUCUCUCAGUCACUGGGGAGGCAGAGAAGAGGAAAAAGGUCACCUCAUUGCUACUGACAUAGUAUGGCACUGGCAACACCGUCAGUUGGUGAUGGAAGAUAGAUUUUUCCACCCUUACAUUCUCCUUGUCUUUUACAGUUCACUACCUAAGCCUGCUUGGACCUCUACAUGUGUUUAAUCCUUCCAGCAGAGGACAAUCACUUGGAAGUCACACAUCUGGCUAGACGUGAAGAUGUUGUGUGGGGAGAGUUUCCUUACAGAAGUGGCAUUGCAUUUCUACAGACAUUUCGCACAUUCCUUUGUAAGACAAAAGAUAGAGGAUUUUUCUUUGAUUCCAGGAAGCAUUUCCUGUGAACACUAAGACUUAAGCAUCUAUGUAAAUGAAAUUUACACAAUAGUGACCACAUGAUGAAUGUUAGGGAAUGCCCAGGGUUUGUUAUAUUUGUGCUUUUGGUUCUUUUAUUGUUUAAUAGCAAAUGCUUAGACUGUGCUUUUGUCCUUCCUCCUAGUCCUCCAUUCCUACCAGCCUCAUUCUGAUCAUCUGGCAUUUACUAGCUUUCAAGAAUUAAAAAAGAUUACAAGAAAUAUAGAGAAUUGUGGUGACUAUUAAUUGUCCUAAUGACAUCCAGUAAAAAUUGUAAAACUUUACAAUAGACUGAUUUCCAUACUUUCACUUUUUUGAACUAUCACAUUAUUGAUAUUUUUUCCAUAAUUCUGUAAUAAAAAGGUUAUUCAUCAUAUGCA
This 1009-nucleotide long non-coding RNA is filed under the name Oryctolagus cuniculus (rabbit). RNAcentral describes it as "lncRNA (ENSOCUG00000034701.1)". Lineage: Eukaryota; Metazoa; Chordata; Mammalia; Lagomorpha; Leporidae. The record is from RNAcentral.